AGUGAACGCUGGCGGUAGGCCUAACACAUGCAAGUCGAACGGCAGCACAGUAAGAGCUUGCUCUUACGGGUGGCGAGUGGCGGACGGGUGAGGAAUACAUCGGAAUCUACUUUUUCGUGGGGGAUAACGUAGGGAAACUUACGCUAAUACCGCAUACGACCUACGGGUGAAAGCAGGGGAUCUUCGGACCUUUCGCGAUUGAAUGAGCCGAUGCCGGAUUAGCUAGUUGGCGGGGUAAAGGCCCACCAAGGCGACGAUCCGUAGCUGGUCUGAGAGGAUGAUCAGCCACACUGGAACUGAGACACGGUCCAGACUCCUACGGGAGGCAGCAGUGGGGAAUAUUGGACAAUGGGCGCAAGCCUGAUCCAGCCAUACCGCGUGGGUGAAGAAGGCCUUCGGGUUGUAAAGCCCUUUUGUUAGGAAAGAAAAGCAGCAGAUUAAUACCCCGCUGUUCUGACGGUACCCAAAGAAUAAGCACCGGCUAACUUCGUG
Molecule: ribosomal RNA, 492 nt
Filed under: uncultured bacterium
Lineage: Bacteria
Description: partial 16S ribosomal RNA
Rfam family: Bacterial small subunit ribosomal RNA
Source: RNAcentral